GUGAGUCAUCGAAUCUUUGAACGCACAUUGCGCCCCUUGGUAUUCCGAGGGGCAUGCCUGUUCGAGCGUCAUUACACCCCUCAAGCACUGCUUGGUCUUGGGCUCCGCCGCUCACCCGGCGGGCCUCAAAACGAGUGGCGGCGCCAUCAGGCUCUGAGCGUAGUAAAUUUCCUCGCUACGGAGUCCUGGUGGACGCUGGCCAUCAACCCCCAACUUUCUAAGUUUGACCUCGGAUCAGGUAGGGAUACCCGCUGAACUUAAGCAUAUCAAUAAGCGGAGGA
RNAcentral lists this unclassified non-coding RNA (281 nucleotides) under Cadophora sp. Its description in RNAcentral is "partial contains 5.8S ribosomal RNA, internal transcribed spacer 2, and large subunit ribosomal RNA". The stretch from base 1 to 71 matches the Rfam family "5.8S ribosomal RNA", at positions 84 to 154 of the family's 154-position model. Lineage: Eukaryota; Fungi; Ascomycota; Leotiomycetes; Helotiales; Ploettnerulaceae. The record is from RNAcentral.